This 278-nucleotide unclassified non-coding RNA is filed under the name Hevea brasiliensis (rubber tree). Lineage: Eukaryota; Viridiplantae; Streptophyta; Magnoliopsida; Malpighiales; Euphorbiaceae. The record is from RNAcentral.
GACAAAUUGCACCCUGUAAUAUUGGAGAACAUCUCUGUUAGGAAGAUUAUCAAGGCUGAAAGAAAAAUGCUUCAGGAAAGGAAAUUGCAUAUGGAGGAUCAUCGUAGAGUUUUACAGGGUAAGGUUGCAGAAUUGACAGCUAACAUGAAGAAACUGAAAAUGGAUUAUCAGAUGAAGGCUAAUAAGGCUCAAGCUGAAGGAGCUAUCGUGUUGGAAUUAAAGAAAAACUUUGAAGAAUUCCGUCUUAAAUAUGAUCGUUUGUUUGAUUACAAUCAAAC